Molecule: ribosomal RNA, 448 nt
Filed under: uncultured bacterium
Lineage: Bacteria
Description: SSU rRNA
Rfam family: Bacterial small subunit ribosomal RNA
Source: RNAcentral
AGAACGAACGCUGGCAGCAUGCCUAACACAUGCAAGUCGAACGCGUGUAGCGAUACACGAGUGGCGGACGGGUGAGUAACGCGUGGGAACCUGCCCUGGAGUGUGGGAUAACCGAGGGAAACUUCGGCUAAUACCGCAUACGACCUGAGGGUGAAAGAUUUAUCGCUCUAGGAGGGGCCCGCGUCGGAUUAGCUAGUUGGUGGGGUAAAGGCCUACCAAGGCAGUGAUCCGUAGCUGGUCUGAGAGGAUGAUCAGCCACACUGGGACUGAGACACGGCCCAGACUCCUACGGGAGGCAGCAGUGGGGAAUAUUGGACAAUGGGGGCAACCCUGAUCCAGCAAUGCCGCGUGAGUGAUGAAGGCCUUAGGGUUGUAAAGCUCUUUCGCGCGCGACGAUGAUGACGGUAGCGCGAGAAGAAGCCCCGGCUAACUUCGUGCCAGCAGCCGC